Molecule: long non-coding RNA, 178 nt
Organism: Dermochelys coriacea (leatherback sea turtle)
Lineage: Eukaryota; Metazoa; Chordata; Testudines; Dermochelyidae
Exons: 3
Source: RefSeq, a predicted model, not a curated record
AAGCUUGUGUCAUGUUUUUCCACAGACAGCUGUACUAAAUAUUUAGUACAAUACUGUGUGCAAUCAAGACAGGUUUCAAGACGUUUUUAAAAGGGUACUUUUGAUUUACAGCCACUAAACACAUUUUCUAAACACAAAAACAGAUUGAAAUCCACAAACCCUCUAGCAAUAUGUUUUU